GGGAGGUAGUGACAAUAAAUAACAAUACGGGGUUCUUUCGGAUCUCGUAAUUGGAAUGAGUACAAUUUAAAUCUCUUAACGAGGAACAAUUGGAGGGCAAGUCUGGUGCCAGCAGCCGCGGUAAUUCCAGCUCCAAUAGCGUAUAUUAAAGUUGUUGCAGUUAAAAAGCUCGUGGUUGAAUUUCGAGAUCAAAUUGUUGGUCGUGCCUCGGUACGUACUGGCAUCGUCGGUUUCUCCCUUCUGACGAACCAUGAUGUCAUUUAUUUGGUGUUGUGGGGAAUCAGGACUGUUACUUUGAAAAAUUAGAGUGUUUAAAGCAGGCUCACGCUUGAAUACAUUAGCAUGGAAUAAUGAAAUAGGACGUUUGAUUCUAUUUUGUUGGUUUCUAGGAUCGACGUAAUGAUUAAUAGGGAUAGUUGGG
Molecule: ribosomal RNA, 421 nt
Filed under: uncultured Glomeraceae
Lineage: Eukaryota; Fungi; Glomeromycota; Glomeromycetes; Glomerales; Glomeraceae
Description: SSU rRNA
Rfam family: Eukaryotic small subunit ribosomal RNA
Source: RNAcentral